GGGGAUAUAGCUCAGUUGGUAGAGUGCUUGCCUUGCAUGCAAAAGUCCCUGGGUUCGAUCCUCAGCCCCG
RNAcentral lists this transfer RNA (70 nucleotides) under Marmota marmota marmota (Alpine marmot). It matches the Rfam family "tRNA". From Rfam's summary of the family: Transfer RNA (tRNA) molecules are approximately 80 nucleotides in length. Lineage: Eukaryota; Metazoa; Chordata; Mammalia; Rodentia; Sciuridae. The record is from Rfam by way of RNAcentral. RNAcentral also lists the same sequence under 2 other names.